GCGGCAGCUACCAUGCAGUCGAGGGGUAUAGUUCUUCGGAACUAGAGACCGGCGCACGGGUGCGUAACGCGUAUGCAAUCUACCUUUUACAGAGGGAUAGCCCAGAGAAAUUUGGAUUAAUACCUCAUAGUAUAAUGACUCGGCAUCGAGAUAUUAUUAAAGUCACAACGGUAAAAGAUGAGCAUGCGUCCCAUUAGCUAGUUGGUAAGGUAACGGCUUACCAAGGCUACGAUGGGUAGGGGUCCUGAGAGGGAGAUCCCCCACACUGGUACUGAGACACGGACCAGACUCCUACGGGAGGCAGCAGUGAGGAAUAUUGGACAAUGGGCGCAAGCCUGAUCCAGCCAUGCCGCGUGCAGGAUGACGGUCCUAUGGAUUGUAAACUGCUUUUAUACGAGAAGAAACAACAUUACGUGUAAUGUCUUGACGGUAUCGUAAGAAUAAGGAUCGGCUAACUCCGUGCCAGCAGCCGCGGUAAUACGGAGGAUCCAAGCGUUAUCCGGAAUCAUUGGGUUUAAAGGGUCCGUAGGCGGUUUAAUAAGUCAGUGGUGAAAGCCCAUCGCUCAACGGUGGAACGGCCAUUGAUACUGUUAGACUUGAAUUAUUAGGAAGUAACUAGAAUAUGUAGUGUAGCGGUGAAAUGCUUAGAGAUUACAUGGAAUACCAAUUGCGAAGGCAGGUUACUACUAAUGGAUUGACGCUGAUGGACGAAAGCGUGGGUAGCGAACAGGAUUAGAUACCCUGGUAGUCCACGCCGUAAACGAUGGAUACUAGCUGUUGGGAGCAAUUUCAGUGGCUAAGCGAAAGUGAUAAGUAUCCCACCUGGGGAGUACGUUCGCAAGAAUGAAACUCAG
Molecule: ribosomal RNA, 854 nt
Filed under: Flavobacteriales bacterium Control.23
Lineage: Bacteria; Pseudomonadati; Bacteroidota; Flavobacteriia; Flavobacteriales
Description: bacterial SSU rRNA
Rfam family: Bacterial small subunit ribosomal RNA
Source: RNAcentral